GCCGGUAUAGCUCAGUUGGUAGAGCAACUGAUUCGUAAUCAGGAGGUCGGAGGUUCAACUCCUCUUACCGGCACCA
Molecule: transfer RNA, 76 nt
Filed under: Coxiellaceae bacterium
Lineage: Bacteria; Pseudomonadati; Pseudomonadota; Gammaproteobacteria; Legionellales; Coxiellaceae
Description: tRNA-Thr
Rfam family: tRNA
About the family: Transfer RNA (tRNA) molecules are approximately 80 nucleotides in length. Their secondary structure includes four short double-helical elements and three loops (D, anti-codon, and T loops). Further hydrogen bonds mediate the characteristic L-shaped molecular structure. tRNAs have two regions of fundamental functional importance: the anti-codon, which is responsible for specific mRNA codon recognition, and the 3' end, to which the tRNAs corresponding amino acid is attached (by aminoacyl-tRNA synthetases). tRNAs cope with the degeneracy of the genetic code in two manners: having more than one tRNA (with a specific anti-codon) for a particular amino acid; and 'wobble' base-pairing, i.e. permitting non-standard base-pairing at the 3rd anti-codon position.
Source: RNAcentral